GCCCACGCCAUGGCGCCCUAGGAGAACGCGGGGACAGAACUCUUGCUGCAGAGUUUCGAGCGCCGCUUCCUGGCGGCGCGCUCACUGCGCUCCUUCCCCUGGCAGAGCUUAGAAGCAAAGUUAAGAGACUCAUCAGAUUCUGAGCUGCGGCGGGAUAUUUUGCAGAAGGUUACCUAACCAAACUCCUGUAAAACCACACCACCUAUGCCUGUGAUGGGGACUAUCUGAAUCUACAGUGCCCUCGGCAUUCUACAAUAAGUGUCCAAUCGGCAUUUUAUGGACAAGAUUACCCAAUGUGUAGUUCCCAGAAGCCUGCCUGCCAGAGGGAAGACAGCUUAACUUGUGUGGCACCCACCACCUUCCAGAUGAAUUAAAAAACAAAACCGUGUGUGAAGACAAGGAGCUGAAACUGCACUGCCAUGAAUCCAAGUUCCUCAACAUCUACUCUGUGACCUAUGGCAGGAGGAUCCAGGAAAGGGACAUGUGCUCCUCCAAGGCAGAGCGGCUCCCCCCCUUUUCAUUCCCAAGAACAUACUCACAGUGAUUGAUCCAGCCAUUGGUAAUCUAAAACCUUCUUUGAAGCAGAAAGAUGGUGAAUAUGGUAUGAACUUCGACCCAAGCGAAUCGAAGGUUCUGAGGAAAGAUGGAAUCCUUGUUAGUGACUCUCUGGCAGCCUUUGCUUACAUUAGAG
RNAcentral lists this long non-coding RNA (691 nucleotides) under Homo sapiens (human). RNAcentral's name for it is "HSALNT0317899". Lineage: Eukaryota; Metazoa; Chordata; Mammalia; Primates; Hominidae. The record is from RNAcentral.